CCUACGGGAGGCAGCAGUGAGGAAUAUUGGUCAAUGGACGAGAGUCUGAACCAGCCAAGUAGCGUGAAGGAUGAAUGCCCUAUGGGUUGUACACUUCUUUUAUAUGGGAAUAAAACGUUCCAUGUGUGGGAUUUUGUAUGUACCAUAUGAUUACGGCUCGGCUAAUUCCGUGCCAGCAGCCGCGGUAAUACGGAGGAUCCGAGCGUUAUCCGGAUUUAUUGGGUUUAAAGGGAGCGUAGGUGGAUUGUUAAGUUAGUUGGGAAAGUUUGCGGAUCAACCGUAAAAUUGCAGUUGAAACUGGCAGUCGUGAGUAUAGUAGAGGUGGGCGGAAUUCGUGGUGUAGCGGUGAAAUGCUUAGAUAUCACGAAGAACUCCGAUUGCGAAGGCAGUUCACUGGACUGCAACUGACACUGAGGCUCGAAAGUGUGGGUAUCAAACAGGAUUAGAUACCCCAGUAGUC
Molecule: ribosomal RNA, 460 nt
Filed under: uncultured bacterium
Lineage: Bacteria
Description: partial 16S ribosomal RNA
Rfam family: Bacterial small subunit ribosomal RNA
Source: RNAcentral